AGCGAACGCUGGCGGCGUGCCUAACACAUGCAAGUCGAACGUGAAAGGGAGCAAUCCCAAGUAAAGUGGCGUACGGGUGAGUAACACGUAGGUAAUCUACCCCAGAAUCUGGAAUAACCGGCCGAAAGGCUGGCCAAUACUUGAUAGAGCGACGGAAUCCGUAAUUGGGUUUUUCGGGAAAGGGAGCCUGUAAAAAGGCCUUCGUUCUGGGAUGAGCCUGCGUCCCAUCAGCUAGUUGGUGAGGUAAAAGCUUACCAAGGCAAUGACGGGUAGCUGGUCGGGGAGGACGGACAGCCAAACUGGAACUGAAACACGGGCCAGACUCCUACGGGAGGCAGCAGUGGGGGAUCUUGCGCAAUGGACGAAAGGCUGAAGCAGGAACGCCGGGGGGGUGGAGGAGGCCUUCGGGUUGUAAAGCUCUGUCGAGUGGGGCGAAAAUGCUUGGAGUUCACAGCUCCAGGAACUGACGGUACCACUAAAGGAAGCACCGGCUAACUCCGUG
RNAcentral lists this ribosomal RNA (502 nucleotides) under uncultured bacterium. Its description in RNAcentral is "partial 16S ribosomal RNA". It matches the Rfam family "Bacterial small subunit ribosomal RNA", at positions 29 to 507 of the family's 1533-position model. The record is from RNAcentral.